UAGAGUUUGAUCCUGGCUCAGGAUGAACGCUGGCGGCGUGCCUAAUACAUGCAAGUCGAACGCACAGCGAAAGGUGCUUGCACCUUUCAAGUGAGUGGCGAACGGGUGAGUAACACGUGGAUAACCUACCUCGAGGUUGGGGAUAACAUUUGGAAACAGAUGCUAAUACCGAAUAAAACUUAGUAUCGCAUGAUACCAGGUUAAAAGGCGCUAUGGCGUCACCUAGAGAUGGAUCCGCGGUGCAUUAGUUAGUUGGUGGGGUAAAGGCUUACCAAGACAAUGAUGCAUAGCCGAGUUGAGAGACUGAUCGGCCACAUUGGGACUGAGACACGGCCCAAACUCCUACGGGAGGCUGCAGUAGGGAAUCUUCCACAAUGGGCGAAAGCCUGAUGGAGCAACGCCGCGUGUGUGAUGAAGGCUUUCGGGUCGUAAAGCACUGUUGUAUGGGAAGAACAGCUAGAGUAGGGAAUGACUUUAGUUUGACGGUACCAUACCAGAAAGGGACGGCUAAAUACGUGCCAGCAGCCGCGGUAAUACGUAUGUCCCGAGCGUUACCCGGAUUUAUUGGGCGUAAAGCGAGCGCAGACGGUUAAUUAAGUCUGAUGUGAAAGCCCGGAGCUCAACUCCGGAAAGGCAUUGGAAACUGGUUAACUUGAGUGCAGUAGAGGUAAGUGGAACUCCAUGUGUAGCGGUGGAAUGCGUAGAUAUAUGGAAGAACACCAGCGGCGAAGGCGGCUUACUGGACUGUAACUGACGUUGAGGCUCGAAAGUGUGGGUAGCAAACAGGAUUAGAUACCCUGGUAGUCCACACCGUAAACGAUGAACACUAGGUGUUAGGAGGUUUCCGCCUCUUAGUGCCGAAG
Molecule: ribosomal RNA, 863 nt
Filed under: uncultured bacterium
Lineage: Bacteria
Description: bacterial SSU rRNA
Rfam family: Bacterial small subunit ribosomal RNA
Source: RNAcentral